GGGUCCGUGGCCUAGUCAGGAUAAGGCAUUGGACUUCUAAUCCAAUGAUCCGGGGUUCGAAUCCCCGCGGAUCCGCCA
This 78-nucleotide transfer RNA is filed under the name Candidatus Bathyarchaeota archaeon. RNAcentral describes it as "tRNA-Arg". It matches the Rfam family "tRNA". From Rfam's summary of the family: Transfer RNA (tRNA) molecules are approximately 80 nucleotides in length. Lineage: Archaea; Thermoproteati; Candidatus Bathyarchaeota. The record is from RNAcentral. RNAcentral also lists the same sequence under 2 other names.